AAUAGAUUGCCUGACUAAAGGAUUACUUUGAUAGAGUAAAUUAUAUAAUAAUACUUAUUAUAUCUAUUA
RNAcentral lists this transfer RNA (69 nucleotides) under Paratrichocladius tamaater. Its description in RNAcentral is "tRNA-Ile". The record is from RNAcentral. Lineage: Eukaryota; Metazoa; Arthropoda; Insecta; Diptera; Chironomidae.